AAGAGAGAAAUAAAAGUUUGCACCAAGGUUGAAUUAGUAUACAUGCAUUGAGUUGUUUGAUGGUUGUUGCCCAUAGUUGAGAUGGAAGUUGCUUUUCAUAUGUUCAGAAUUCUUUUGGUGUGAUUUGAUUCGAGCAUGCACGAUAUUUGAUCUUCAAUGUUUGAGCUUAGGACCCCUAAGAUCUUGCCUACAUCAUUGAUAGUCCUUAGCCCCAUUACAACCAAAGAAGAAAGACCUUUUUGAG
Molecule: long non-coding RNA, 244 nt
Filed under: Salvia miltiorrhiza (redroot sage)
Lineage: Eukaryota; Viridiplantae; Streptophyta; Magnoliopsida; Lamiales; Lamiaceae
Description: long non-coding RNA (SMIL_LNC011419)
Source: RNAcentral